AUGUUCUGCUUAUGGAAAACUGCUCCAGAAACGCAAACCUUGCACCUGAGAGUGCAGCAGCCUCACCUGCAGCCACCAGGAGGAAAUUCCUGCUGCACAUGGAGCUGCACAGCUGCCUGCAGGAGGGAGGAAAAAAAAAAUCCCUGUGCACUGGAAUAUAAUCUCAAGGGAAAGGAAAAUGGAAGGAAUGUGGAAGCAAAGAUUUGGGAUUUUACACGUGGAGAGAAGCAGGACAGGCUCCCCAUUCUGAAGGAAAAGGGGAAAAAGGAGAGUGCAUUGCCCAAGUGCUCCAUCUGCAACUCCAUCCCAUGGAGGAGCCGGAGGCACCGCAGCAGCGCUCACAGAACCGCCUCAGGAAUCCACAGAGCAGCCAGAUGCCAGCCCUGGAAAAACAUGGGAUGUUGA
Molecule: long non-coding RNA, 405 nt
Filed under: Cyanistes caeruleus (blue tit)
Lineage: Eukaryota; Metazoa; Chordata; Aves; Passeriformes; Paridae
Description: lncRNA (ENSCCEG00000015760.1)
Source: RNAcentral